GCACGAAAGGCGUAACGAUUUGGGCACUGUCUCAACGAGAGACUCGGUGAAAUCAUAGUACCUGUGAAGAUGCAGGUUACCCGCGACAGGACGGAAAGACCCCGUGGAGCUUUACUGUAGCCUGAUAUUGAAAUUCGGCACAGCUUGUACAGGAUAGGUAGGAGCCUUUGAAACGUGAGCGCUAGCUUACGUGGAGGCGCUGGUGGGAUACUACCCUAGCUGUGUUGGCUUUCUAACCCGCACCACUUAUCGUGGUGGGAGACAGUGUCAGGCGGGCAGUUUGACUGGGGCGGUCGCCUCCUAAAAGGUAACGGAGGCGCUCAAAGGUUCCCUCAGAAUGGUUGGAAAUCAUUCAUAGAGUGUAAAGGCAUAAGGGAGCUUGACUGCGAGACCUACAAGUCGAGCAGGGUCGAAAGACGGACUUAGUGAUCCGGUGGUUCCGCAUGGAAGGGCCAUCGCUCAACGGAUAAAAGCUACCCCGGGGAUAACAGGCUUAUCUCCCCCAAGAGUUCACAUCGACGGGGAGGUUUGGCACCUCGAUGUCGGCUCAUCGCAUCCUGGGGCUGUAGUCGGUCCCAAGGGUUGGGCUGUUCGCCCAUUAAAGCGGUACGCGAGCUGGGUUCAGAACGUCGUGAGACAGUUCGGUCCCUAUCCGUCGUGGGCGUAGGAAAUUUGAGAGGAGCUGUCCUUAGUACGAGAGGACCGGGAUGGACAUACCUCUGGUGUACCAGUUGUCGUGCCAACGGCAUAGCUGGGUAGCUAUGUGUGGACGGGAUAAGUGCUGAAAGCAUCUAAGCAUGAAGCCCCCCUCAAGAUGAGAUUUCCCAACUUCGGUUAUAAGAUCCCUCAAAGAUGAUGAGGUUAAUAGGUUCGAGGUGGAAGCAUGGUGACAUGUGGAGCUGACGAAUACUAAUCGAUCGAAGACUUAAUCAAAA
Molecule: ribosomal RNA, 935 nt
Filed under: Escherichia coli
Lineage: Bacteria; Pseudomonadati; Pseudomonadota; Gammaproteobacteria; Enterobacterales; Enterobacteriaceae
Also listed under: 1 other name
Description: partial 23S ribosomal RNA
Rfam family: Bacterial large subunit ribosomal RNA
Source: RNAcentral